CUGGCUCAGGACGAACGCUGGCGGCAUGCCUAACACAUGCAAGUCGAACGGAGUUAUUAUUCAGAAGUUCUUCGGGAUGGAAGGAUAAGAACUUAGUGGCGGACGGGUGAGUAACGCGUGGGUAACCUGCCCUUUUGUGGGGAACAACUUCGAGAAAUCGGAGCUAAUACCGCAUAAUAAUAGAGGAUCGCAUGAUUCUUUAAGGAAAGAUGGCCUCUGAAGAUGCUAUCGCAAAAGGAUGGACCCGCGUCUGAUUAGCUAGUUGGAAGGGUAACGGCCUACCAAGGCAACGAUCAGUAGCCGGUCUGACAGGGUGAACGGCCACAUUGGGACUGAGACACGGCCCAAUUUUCUACGGGAGGCAGAAGUGGGGAAUCUUCCGCAAUGAGCAAAAGCCUGACGGAUCAAUGCCGCGUGAAUGAAGAAGGCCUUCAGGUAGUAAAACUCUGUCCUUAUCCAAGACAGGUAUGUAUGUGACUAAUGCACCUAAUAGGACGGUAGAUAAAAAAGAAGCCCCGGCUAAGUGCGUGCCAGCAGCCGCGGGUGAUAGAUAGGGGGCGAGCGUUGUCCGGAAUCACUGGGCGUAAAGGGCGCGUAGGCGGUUUAAUAAGUCAGUGGUGAAAACUGAGGGCUCAACCCUCAGCCUGCCACUGAUACUGUUAGACUUGAGUAUGGAAGAGGAGAAUGGAAUUCCUAGUGUAGCGGUGAAAUGCGUAGAUAUUAGGAGGAACACCAGUGGCGAAGGCGAUUCUCUGGGCCAAGACUGACGCUGAGGCGCGAAAGCGUGGGGAGCAAACAGGAUUAGGAUACCCUGGUAGUCCACGCCGUAAACGAUGGAUACUAGGUGUUAGUAGUUUCGAUGUUACUAGUGCCGGAGUAAACACAAUAAGUAUCCCGCCUGGGGAGUACGGUCGCAAGACUGAAACUCAAAGGAAUUGACGGGGGCCCGCACAAGCGGUGGAGCAUGUGGUUUAAUUCGACGCAACGCGAAGAACCUUACCAAGACUUGACAUCCUCCUGACAAGAUAUGUAAUGUAUCUCUUUUCUUCGGAGACAGGAGAGACAGGUGGUGCAUGGUUGUCGUCAGCUCGUGUCGUGAGAUGUUGGGUUAAGUCCCGCAACGAGCGCAACCCCUGCCCGCAGUAGCCAGCACGUUGAGGUGGGCACUCUGCGGGGACUGCCGGGGACAACCCGGAGGAAGGCGGGGACGACGUCAAAUCAUCAUGCCCCUUAUGGCCUGGGCGACACACGUGCUACAAUGGCGCCGACAGAGGGAUGCGAAGCGGCGACGCGGAGCGAACCCCAAAAACGGCGCCUCAGUUCGGAUUGGAGUCUGCAACCCGACUCCAUGAAGCUGGAUUCGCUAGUAAUCGCGCAUCAGCCACGGCGCGGUGAAUAAGUUCCCGGGCCUUGCACUCACCGCCCGUCA
RNAcentral lists this ribosomal RNA (1429 nucleotides) under uncultured bacterium. RNAcentral describes it as "16S ribosomal RNA". It matches the Rfam family "Bacterial small subunit ribosomal RNA". The record is from RNAcentral.